Molecule: non-coding RNA, 125 nt
Organism: Brachypodium distachyon (stiff brome)
Lineage: Eukaryota; Viridiplantae; Streptophyta; Magnoliopsida; Poales; Poaceae
Source: Rfam
AGAGUACUUCCUCCGAUCCUAAAUUGUUGUCGAAAUAUUACAUGUAUCUAGACGCUUUUUAAGAAUAGAUAUAUCCAUAUUUGGUCAAAUUUGAGACAAGAAUUUAGGAUCGGAGGAAGUAUUUU